Monodelphis domestica (gray short-tailed opossum) is the source of this 4681-nucleotide long non-coding RNA. RefSeq lists it as uncharacterized. The record is from RefSeq and is a predicted model, not a curated record. NCBI's taxonomy places the organism in Eukaryota, Metazoa, Chordata, Mammalia, Didelphimorphia, Didelphidae.
CAACCACAGAAAAGGCUGAGCCUUUUUAGAAUUCAGACCUUUCCCCAGCCGCAAAGAGGACACCGUAACUACGGCGCCGCGCCAGGGAGCAAGGUAAUGUGGCGCAGAGAAGGCGAGCCCUUGCUUGGAAGACCCUGCAGGAACGGAUCGCUCUCCGCCACCCGUCUCUAGCUUAGCGGGCAGUCCUCUGUGCCCAGCCAUGGGUCCUUGGGGACUUUUUCCUCCGGGUAGCCCGUGGGAACUAUGCCAUCUUUGGUGUGGACGCCCAGAGCCUUGAACGCUGAGGUCAGCCGCUCUACUGAGAACCCCAGGGACCUGUCAUUGAGGUGAAUGCCUUUUCCUGGGCCCCAGAAGCUACAGUCUCCCUGGGCCGGAUCUGACAAUGGCGCACCUCUGUUCUGCGGCCUCUGCACUGACUGCCUAGCCGCUAGUGCCUCUUUGCCUACUUCUGCCGAGGCGGCGCGAGAAAAGCGCACAUAGAAGCUUUGGGGACAACGGACGCCAGCGGAGGCUUCGCUUCUUCCAGCUCCUCAACUGAGGCAAAUGUCAAGACGUGGCGAGAGAGAGCACCCGAAGUUCAAGGGGAGGCUGAGAAUUCUUGGGGAAAGCACAGAUCUCCUGACAGUACACAAGUAAAGAUGAGACUCCGGGUGCUUGUAACACUGAGUAUGGACUUCAUUACAAAAUGAUUUUCAUAACUGGAAAGACUGCUUAAACCUGUGACCUUGGUCUUUUGGUGCUUUUCUCAAAGCAAUGAGCCACAGUAGAAAAGUUUAAAGAAAAGAAAAGAAAAGAAAUUAAUUAAUCCAGUGUAGGACCGAUGAGCAAGUCAAACCAAAAAUUGUGAUCAGUAAAGCUCGAAUCUGCUUGGGGAAUUAUAAAGUUUGAAGAGAUUAGUCCAAUCUUACUAUCAGUAUCUUGCAUAACUGAUUCUAGGCAUACCAGACCAAUAAAGACUGGGCAAUCACACCAAGGCAUCAUUCUUCCCAAAGAAAACACUGUGUAUGGUGUUCUGACAGUGAAAAUAUAAGCAUGUCACCUGCGGUUCAUAAAAGAUCUACACACCAAGUGGUUCAGAUCUGCCAAGACAUAUCCAUAAAUGCAUGUGUUGUGUUUUGUGUGUAUAUAUCCCACAAAAUCUCACAUGAAAAGAUGCCAGAUUUAUAUCAAUGGGACAGAAUCUGGGGAGAGAAAGCUUCCUUCCUAUAUCAGUUGCUUAAAGCAACCAGUUAAAAUAAAACCUCAAUGAUUUGGACCGCCACUGACUUGAAAUUUGUGAUGCUUUGGUUGGGCAAGAUCGGAGCAUUUUGAGACAUUUGGGGCCAGAAGAUCCCUACUUGAUAUGUGCUCAGUUACCUCUGACAACCUUCCUAAUUAAUGAAUCAACUGAAAAAUGACAAAACAGCUUCUAUUUAAGACUGCUCACCCCUUCCCCAGAUUAGCCAAAUUAGUGAGGUUUGAUUCUAUUUGCACAAAGUAUAAAUUUGUGAUUCUAAGACAUAAGAUAGGGGUUUUGUGUUUUUUUUUUAAGAAAUAAAAUGCAAAGAUGCAUAAAUAAGUAUAUACAGGGUAAUAUUAGGAGGAAGAGCUCACUAAUAACUUUUCAACAGUUUCAUGGGAGAUGACUUAAACCAAGCCUUGAAAAAAAAAUGAUUCAGCCUGGUAGGAAUGGGAAAGGAAUUGAUGGCAGGAAUGGGGGAUUUAUCUUACAAAUGUAUAGGAGUAGAGAUAGAGUACAGAAAAUAAUUAACAAUCUAAUUUAGCUAGAAUGUUGUAUUAUGAAAAUGAACAACAAAAUGGAUUAUUAGAGUGCCUUAAAUGCCAGAUUAAAGAAUUUAUAUUUCAUUCUAUUGGCAAUAAUAGGAAACCACUGAAGCAGCCAGGGAGGUUAAAGGGCCCCAAUUGCGGAAGGUUAUUUUGGCAACUGAGUAGAGGAUUGAUUAGAGAAAAGAGUGCCUGCAACAAGGAAACUAGUUGGGAAACUAUUUCAGUUUUCCAAGCAAAAGACAAUGAAUCCUCCAGCUAGGGCUUGUCAUGUGAGAGAAGUAAAGAGAAUGGGCUCAAGAGAUGUAAAUGAGGUAAAAUGGAUACUGGGUGACAACUGUUUAGAAUUUUAAGAAAAAAAGGAAAGAGUCCAAGAUAGCUCUGUGAUUAUGAGUCCCUGGAGCAUAAAUAAGGUACUAUAAACAGAAAUAGGGGAGUCUAAAGGGAAAAGGUUGUAGGUGGAGUGGAGAAAUAAGUUCUAUUUUAGACAUGUUGAGGUUGUGAUGCCAAUAGGAAAUCCAAAUAGAGAUGUCCAGCAAGCUGGAACUGGUAAAACUAAAAAAGUUUUGGUAAAAAAAAAUUAGAGCUGAAUAUAUAGCUUUUGAAAUCAUUGAAUCUCUAAAAAUGGUUGAGACCCUUAACUCAUCCAGGGUUAUAUAGGUAACUAAAUUAUGCACCAUUUUAUCAGAGGUGAAUGCACAGCAUUCAAAUCUGUUAAGGACCUAAUGGAACAUAUUCCCCACUGAGCUUACAACAGGAGUCACAACUCACUUGUGGAAUUUACAAUAACCAUAUUGCUCAUUCUUCCAUCUUCAUUUUACCUGGUCUCUCUGUAACGCAGAGUACAGGUUAACCAACUCCAAGUCCCUCUACAUCUGUGCAAUUAAUAUUAAAUUUAAACCUAAAGACCUCAAGCAAUUAUUCUGUGCAAUUAGGUUUGAUAUAUUUAUAGUCAGCUAAACACAGACAUUGAAAACAUCUAGAAAUAUCUCCUCUCAACACAGUAUCUCAUUGGUAGGAAAAGGAGAGAGUACAAUGGCCCUUCCACAGGGUGUCUAUAUUCCUGAUUGAUGGUAUAUGAGCCAUUCACAUCCCAAUAUUAAACCCAAGGAUUAAAUACACUUCUCCCUAUUGGUACCUUCCAAUUCACUACUUUGAGAAAUUAAUAUUCAGCCAAUCAAUAAAAACUUAUCAAGCACCUGUUAUGUCCAGCCCUGUUUUUUCAAGCACCUUAACUAUAAGCACGUAUUAGGUGCUUAAAAUGUGCUAGGAAGUAUGCUUGGCUCUUGGGGAUGAAAGACAAAAGUGAAACAGUUUGUGUGAAGAGAAAGAAAUUGACAUAUAUGGGUGUGAACCUCCAGGAAGCCAAAUAUGUUAUCCAAUGGGGACAGGUAAACAGGAGCAUAUCUCAACAGAUGAAACCAACUGAGCCUUAGAGCUCUUUGCCCAGAUCAAAUCUUCAAGUUAGUUUCUUGCUGAGUUUCAAUAGGAAGAAAGUGUGAAUGGAAGGUGUGAUUUUUUUUUUGAGAGGGGAAGGUAGUAAGUAAUGAAUUCACUGACAAACCAAAGUAUUAAAUUAUGAGUGCUCUAGUAUACCAAAACUACUCAAAGAGGCUCUCAGCCUACUCCGGUGGCAGAGCUAUAUAGUUGUGAUUAUUCGUCAUCUGGAUCAAACAAAAAAAUUUCUAGACUAGAACCACCUAAAAUUGUUAUAAUAACUAACAUUUAUAUCACAGUGGAUAAAGCAUUGGACCUGGAAUCAAGAAGAACUAAGUUCAAAUCCAGUCUAGACAUGUGACCCUGGGCAAAUCACUUGCCUUAAUCCACUUGAGAAGGAAAUAGCAAACCAGUAUCUUUACUGAGAAAAAUUCACAACAGCAUAGAUGUGCUCUGGUCUUCAGGAUCACCAAGAGUCUGACAUGAUUGAACAACAUUUAUAUAGCUCUUUACAUAUUCAUCCCCACAACAAUACUGUGUGAUACAUCCUAGUAAGUAAACUAAUUAAAAAAAUUUUUUUAAGUCACACAACUAAAGUCUAUGGUAAGUCUGAGAUAUGAUUAGAUUUGAGGCUGUCAACUCCAAUUGCAGUCCUUCAGUCACUACAUUAGACCACACUGGAUUAACUAUGACAGUGUAGAGCUGAAAUUUAUAAGCAACUGAAUCAUCCAUUGAUAUAAUAUUAGCUAAGAGGUUCAUGCCCAGAUCUCAAUUCUGGGCCUCUGAACUUUUGUUUCCUCUUUAGGGGCUUGGGCUACUAGAUUUCCAAGGUUUUUUCCUUCCACAGCCUUCUACCAAAGGCAGCCUUGGUCAGUAAACUAUGUACCUGGCCCCUCCUGCCUGUUUUUGAUGAGAUAAGAAUAGUUUUUACCACUCUUUCCUCUUAGGUAAUAGGCUGGAUUUGUCUGCAAGUCAAACUUUGCUGACCCUUGCUCUAGCACCCCAAAAUAGCAAGUACCCAUGAUAACCAUUCACAGCAAUCACAUGGCUAGUUUUGUAUGUCUUAGAUAAUAUUUGAGGCAAUACAGACUAAAUGAUAAUUAUGAGAAGGAAUUUCUCUAUCACCAUUGCUGAGCAUUUCAACACAACUUUUUACAUUGAUAAUCAUUGAAGGAAAAUUUAAAUACCCAAAGGAAUAAUUGUUGAAACAAUAUCUCCUUGUUGGCCAUUAUCUAAUUCAAUUUCCUUUCACAUACCAUUGUUAAUUUAAGGUUAAAAAUACAGUUGUCAAUCUUAUCUGCAGAUUCUGAUCCUUUCUCUGUUAUGUCUAGACCUUUCACCUUUCAGAAGGCAAAAUCAGUGGCUUAGAGUUCUUGAGACAGAAAUUUUUGGGAGAUCUAUUGACUUACCAUUGUUCUAUUAAAAAUAUUUAACUGGGGAGGUACAAGGGUCUUUAUCACAAUAAAAAAACAGUAUCCUG